GUUGCUGUGUACCAUAGUAACCUGUUUCCACUUGAGCUCAAUUUCUCACACAGAUGCCUCAUCAUUAGCACAGCCAUCCUUCAAGAAUAAUGGAUUUUGAAGAUCAGUCCAAAACCAGAUCCAUCAUCUUAAUCAACAGUAUUACAACAGCCUUGGAAGUACAGCACACGCUUCAAAUAUUCUCUGCGUAGAGUUACACUUGAAUUACACAUACAUUGUCUUGAACAGCUAUAAGAACACUUGAAUUUUCAAAUGACAGUAUCUUUCUCAGUGCUUACUUUUUAUUCUUACUGCAUUAAACUAUAAUGCAAGCUGUCUGAAACUUCUUA
Vidua chalybeata is the source of this 329-nucleotide long non-coding RNA. RefSeq lists it as uncharacterized. NCBI's taxonomy places the organism in Eukaryota, Metazoa, Chordata, Aves, Passeriformes, Viduidae. The record is from RefSeq and is a predicted model, not a curated record. The transcript is spliced from 2 exons.